This 135-nucleotide small nucleolar RNA is filed under the name Lates calcarifer (barramundi perch). RNAcentral's name for it is "Small nucleolar RNA SNORA9 (ENSLCAG00010017418.1)". It matches the Rfam family "Small nucleolar RNA SNORA9". From Rfam's summary of the family: ACA9 is a member of the H/ACA class of snoRNA that guide the sites of modification of uridines to pseudouridines. Lineage: Eukaryota; Metazoa; Chordata; Actinopteri; Centropomidae. The record is from Rfam by way of RNAcentral.
GUGCAGACCUUUCCAGCGAGGCCGAGCCUACCGUGGUUCUGUCCUUUCCUGUAGUGUCUGCUAGAGAGAUGUGAGGCUGUUUGAGGCCCUGCUGUGACUAUCCAUGGCAGGGUUAUAGGUAAACCUCACACAAAC